RNAcentral lists this ribosomal RNA (812 nucleotides) under Shouchella oshimensis. RNAcentral describes it as "bacterial SSU rRNA". It matches the Rfam family "Bacterial small subunit ribosomal RNA", at positions 70 to 867 of the family's 1533-position model. Lineage: Bacteria; Bacillati; Bacillota; Bacilli; Caryophanales; Bacillaceae. The record is from RNAcentral.
AGAAGGGAGCUUGCUCCCGGACGUUAGCGGCGGACGGGUGAGUAACACGUAGGUAACCUGCCCCUUAGACUGGGAUAACUCCGGGAAACCGGAGCUAAUACGGGAUAAUAAAGAGAAUCACCUGAUUCUCUUUUGAAAGACGGCGUCUAGCUGUCACUAAGGGAUGGGCCUGCGGCGCAUUAGCUAGUUGGUAAGGUAACGGCUUACCAAGGCGACGAUGCGUAGCCGACCUGAGAGGGUGAUCGGCCACACUGGGACUGAGACACGGCCCAGACUCCUACGGGAGGCAGCAGUAGGGAAUCUUCCGCAAUGGACGAAAGUCUGACGGAGCAACGCCGCGUGAGUGAGGAAGGCCUUCGGGUCGUAAAGCUCUGUUGUGAGGGAAGAACAAGUACCGGGGUAACUACCGGUACCUUGACGGUACCUCACCAGAAAGCCACGGCUAACUACGUGCCAGCAGCCGCGGUAAUACGUAGGUGGCAAGCGUUGUCCGGAAUUAUUGGGCGUAAAGCGCGCGCAGGCGGCUUCUUAAGUCUGAUGUGAAAUCUCGGGGCUCAACCCCGAGCGGCCAUUGGAAACUGGGAAGCUUGAGUGCAGAAGAGGAGAGUGGAAUUCCACGUGUAGCGGUGAAAUGCGUAGAUAUGUGGAGGAACACCAGUGGCGAAGGCGACUCUCUGGUCUGUAACUGACGCUGAGGCGCGAAAGCGUGGGGAGCAAACAGGAUUAGAUACCCUGGUAGUCCACGCCGUAAAGAUGAGUGCUAGGUGUUAGGGGUUUCGAUGCCCGUAGUGCCGAAGUAAACACAUAAGCAC